UCCCUGGUGGCUCAGAUGGUAAAGCAUCUGCCUGCAAUUUGGGAGACCCAGGUUCGAUCCCUGGGUUGGGAA
RNAcentral lists this transfer RNA (72 nucleotides) under Bos taurus (domestic cattle). It matches the Rfam family "tRNA". From Rfam's summary of the family: Transfer RNA (tRNA) molecules are approximately 80 nucleotides in length. Their secondary structure includes four short double-helical elements and three loops (D, anti-codon, and T loops). The record is from Rfam by way of RNAcentral. Lineage: Eukaryota; Metazoa; Chordata; Mammalia; Artiodactyla; Bovidae. RNAcentral also lists the same sequence under 5 other names.